UCGUGAUCCGCCCACCUCGGCCUCCCAGAGUGCUGGGAUUACAGGCUUGAGCCACCGCGCCCGGCCGAGGCAUGUUUGUUGAGUGAGAAAAUGAGUGAGUGACAAAAUGACAAAGAGGACUUGCUUUCCAGUGUUCCAGCUUAACAUGGACGUUCUGAAAAAAUGUCCCCUCUACACAUCGGACACAGCAAAUUAUGACACUUGCUUGGAGUUUGCACUGGAAAACUUUCCUGUUUCUACAUUUCAGGGGUGAAGUUUUAACUAUGGAAGAGAAAGUCCCUCGAAUGUGUAUCUUGGGGGUUCAUCUACUAAAGAGUUGACAUGGGAAAGAUGGUGGGUUUCAGGUCUCUGAACCCAAGUCUGUAUGUAUACAUCCAGAUGGCCUGAGGCAACCAAAAACUACAAAUGAAGUGAAACAGCCAGCUCCUGUCUUAACUGAUUCACCAACCUUACAACAUUCCAUUAUGACUUGUUCCUGCCCUGCCCCAGUUGAUCAAUCGAUCAACCUCGUGACAAUCUUCUGGACAAUAAGUCUUACGAUCUCCCCACCAUGAACCUUGUGACCCCCUCCUCUGCUGACAAUAGAUAACCUCUUUUAACUGUAACUUUCCACUGCUUACCCCAGUCCUAUAAAACUGCCCUACCCCUGUCUCUUUUUGCUGACUCCUUUUUCAGAUUCAGUUGGCCUGCACCCAGGUGAUUAAAAACCUUUAUUGCUCACACAAAGACUUUUUGGUGGUCUCUUCACACGGAUGUGCAUGACAUUUGGUGCCAAAGACCCAGGACGGGGGACUCCUUCGGGAGACCAGUUCCCUGUCCUCACCCUCACUCCAUGAGGAGAUCCACCUAUGACCUUGGGUCCUCAGAACAGCCAGUCCAAGGACAUCUCACCAAUUUUAAAUCGGACAGAGGAGAUGCGUUUUAUCCAUGAACUCAAAACUCUGGUGCUGGUCAUGAACUCAGGAACAGUCUUCCCUUGGUGUCUAAAUCACUGUAGAGAUGUCUGCCUGGUGAUUCACCCACAUUUCAGACGUAUCUGAUCACUGUCCGGAUGCCUGCCUUGAUCGUUCACCUUGGUGGCAAGUACCACCUCCUCUGGAUGGCAAGUACCACCUUCCCUGGGUGGCAAGUACCAUCCCCUCAUCUCCGUGUCUCUACCUUCUCUUUUCUCUGGGGUUGCCUCCUUCACUAUGGGCAAACUUCCACCCUCCAUUCCCCCUUCUUCCUUAGCCUGUGUUCUUCAAAACCUAAAACCCCUUUGACUAACACCUGACCUAAAACCUAAAUGCCUUAUUUUCUUCUGCAAUGCUGCUUGGCCCCAAUACAAACUUGACAAUGGUUCCAAAUAACCAGAAAAUGACACUUGAUUUCUCCAUCUUACAAGACCUGGAUGAUUUUUGUUGAAAAAUGGGCAAAAUGUCUGAGGUGCCUGACAUCCAGGCAUUCUCUUACACAUUGGUCUCUCCAUAGUCUCUGCUCCCAAUGUGACUCAUUCUAAAUCUUUCUUCUUUCUCUCCUGUCUCUUCCUUCAGUCUCCACCCCAAGCUCUGAGUCCUUUGAAUCCUCCUUUUCUAUGAACCCAUCUGACCUCUCCCCUUCCCACCAGGCUGCUCCUCAACAGGCCAAGUCCCAAUUCUUCCUCAGCCUCUGCUCCUCCACUGUAUAAUCCUUCUAUCACCUCCCCUCCUCACACCCGAUCCAGCUAACAGUUUCAGUCCGAGACUAGCCCUUCCCCCCCGCCCAACAAUUUCCUCUUAAAGAGGUGGCUGGAGCUGAAGGCAUAGUCAGGUGCCUUUUUCUCUAUUGGACCUCUCCCAUCAGUCACCUUUUAGGCUCUUUCUCAUCAGACCCCACUAAAUAUAUACAGGAAUUCCAAUAUUUAACUCAGUCCUACAAUUUAACCUGGAGGGACUUAAAUGUCCUCCUGACUUCUACCCUCUCCUGAGAUGAGCGGGAAACAGUUUAUACCAUAGCCCAAUCUCACACUGACACCCACUGGUGUCAUGAGCCAGACCUUCAAGAAGGCACAAGGGCAGUUCCCCAAGAGGAUCCCCAUUGCCAAUACAAGAUGGACUCCCCAGGUAUAACUAGGCGUUUCAACUUCUGUCACAACUUUCUGUAGCCUUUCUAAUGAUUUUUCUACUAGCAUUACAGAUAUAUCACAAACUUUAUCAGUCCUUCAGGCCCAGGUUGACUCCUUAGCUGUAGUCAUCCUCCAAAGUCGCUGAGGCCUUGACCUACUCACUGCUGAAAAAGGAGAACUCUGUAUAUUUUUAAAUGAAGAAUGUUAUUUUUAUCUAAACCAAUCUGGCCUGGUAUAUAACAAUAUAAAAAAAGCUUAAAGAUAAAGCCCAAAAUCUCACCACCCAGGCAAAUAAUUACUCUGGACCCAUGUAGACACUUUCUAACUGGGCAUCUUGGCUCCUCCCUAUUCUUAGUCCCCUGGUACCUGUUUUUCUCCUUCUCUAUUUAGGCCUUGUGUCUUGCAUUUGGUUUCUCAAUUCAUACAAAAACGUAUUGAGACCAUCACCAAUUAUUCUAUAUGACAAAUUUUACUUUUAACAAGUCCACGGUACCAUCAUCUGCCCCAAGAUCUCUCCACAGCCUAAAUUCCUAUUCCUUGCAACUCAUUAUAAAAUUUUCUUUAAGGUGUCCACACAUCCCCUAAUCCCGCUUGAAGCAACCCUGAGAAACAUCGCCCAUUAUCUCUCUGUACCACCCCCCAAGAAUUUUUGCUGCCCCAACACUUCACCUCUAUUAUGUUUUAUUUUUCUUAAAAUAAGAAGACAGGAAUGUCAGGCCUCUGGGCCCAAGCCUGCACGUGUACAUCCAGAUGGCUUGAGACAACUGAAAACUACAAAAGAAAUGAAACAGCCAGCUCCUGUCUUAACUUUCCACUGCUACGCCAGUCCUAUAAAACUGCCCCACCCCUAUCUCCCAUCGCUGACUCCUUUUUCAGACUCAGUUGGUCUGCACCCAAGUGAUUAAAAACCUUUAUUGCUCACACAAAGCCUGUUUGCUGGCCUCCUCACAAGGAUGCAUGUGAAAGUAGGGAAAUUAUUGCUUUUGCAGAGGGAAAAAAGAUGAAAUUACUGGGCAAAAAUUAGACAACAGAGCCCUCACUUGGGAGAACUAGAAUCUGAGAAACAAGCCUCAGGUAUGCAGGAAAGAUUGUCUAAGCCAGAGAGCUGACUGCUGUUGCUGGCCCUGUGGAGAUGAGCUCAUAAUUUUCCAUCCAGGGACGAGGCCCUGAACAGAGCAUCAGAUAAGGUUAGGCACAAAGGCUCAGCCAAAGUUCACAGUCCAUGUGGCACAUAGGACAUACUAUUUAGUGAAAUUAAAUAUUUAAUAAUUUUGUCAAAUCAUCCCCUUUAUAGUGAUUUUGCAUGUGAUUCUGACUUUGUGUAAAAAAUAAACCCACAAAUUCAUAUUGUGCUUAAAUAUCUGAGGUUAAUAGACAACCACUAUCUCAUCUCAGUUACAUCCACUCCCUGCUCAGACUCACCCACAAGACGCAACCUUCAAAGGAAAAGAAGUAAAGCAGGACACCUUUGUUCUGUAUCUCAAAGUGGCAAAAGAUGUCAUGGGGAGUAAGAGCUGUGGUAGAGCCAUGGGAAUAUCCUCAGGAAAUUUAGCAUUUUUUGGAGAGGCUUCAACAAGGUACAAAUGACCCAAUGGUAAAUACUUGGUUUCCCUAAUAAUAAUAAACUGAGUUUCAAAACUGUGCAGGAGGAAGGGAAAAAAGGCUAUUCAUGAGAUUUUGCUACAGAGAGGAAAUUUUACUCUCACGUCCACAGAUAACAAGCCACAAUCAGGGGCUUCUGUUCCUACUUUUAAUACUAAGUAUGACUGUACCUUCCUGGGAACCUACAUCGAGCAAAAAGGAAAUGCUCUUUAUGGUGCUCACAAUGUCUGCACAUCAAGUUGCUGAUCUACCUGAGAUUUGGGCUGUUCAACUGCAGCAAACUUGAGGUUCCUGAGAGUUAGCAAGAGAGCCCCAGGGUAAACUUUGCCAUGCUCUGGGUGAUGCCUACACACUGUUUCUGAACGUAUAAAACCUCAGACCUUCCUCCUGAGGAGAAGCAUUUUUACUGAUGGAACUAAGUUGCUCUUUGCAAUCAUAAGAAGCAAAAGACGAAGCUCAAAAACACUCACCUUACGGAAAGACAAAACAUUUCCGAAAAAAGGCAGAGGUGUGGGCCCUGGAAUUCCAAGCUUCUUAAAAAGUCCAUGUGAAUGGGUUCCAUAUCUACAAAGUGAAACAGAAAUCAGGCCACAGGGAUUGUGACUUUAUAGAUAUAGGGACUGGUGAGUCACUGACUGAGGAACUGGAAUGCGCAAGAGAGGGAGGUAACAUUAAGGCAAUAAAAGAUAACAGUAACUCUGACGACAAUGAUUAUGUUGUUCAUAAGGUCCUUUGGCACCUCCACCAUGAGACACCAAAAAGUUACAAUGAUUAGCUCAAAGCAGCAGAAGUCUUCAUGGUCCCAUUCCUGGAAUGAAUACUUGAUAAAUGUUCUCAAAUGUGAAUGAUCCUGAGAGGUUCAGGCAGGAAUUCCGCCAGGGCACUUCAUUCCCUUAUGCCUUUUUAGUAAGUGAACUCUUCCCUGAUUUUGGGAUUCUCAUUCUAGGUAGAAAGGGUGAAUUUUUUUUUCCUGCAGUGAUGAUGAGAUUUUGCAUCACUACAUCCACUCGGUCACAGGGGGUCACUGAGACCCUAUGGUGACCCUGUCUUUAGAAUUUGCUCAGAGUCAUUUAUGCUUUCCCUUCCCUCUAAGCUCUGACCCUGUUUUAGGAACUGGGCCUUCUUAAGCCGUCAUUCACAGAGAGGUGUUGGAGGAGUCACGGAGUCCUUAUUUCUACAGAUUGAUAACUGUGCUCCAGGCUUCCAUUGGCCUCGUAGAAAUGCGAGCACCUUUCAGCUACACUUAAGUCUCUGUGGUCAGAUGAUCUGGUUGAUUUGAGCUACUGGGGAGGAUGAUUGACUCAUAUUUCCCUGAAUGACAGUGUGCAGAAGAAUCACAACUAAGAACCAGGACAUUCCUCCUCUUGUGGAAUCUUGCCUUCUAGCUGGUGAUAUUCACCUGAUAAGCACAGUGUCAGUGAUAUGGUCUUAAUCUGUGCCCCUACCCAAAUCUCAUGUUGAAAUGUAAUCCCCAAUGCUGGAUGUGGGGCCUGAUAGGAGGUGAUUGGAUCCUAGGAGCAGUUUCUCAUGGUUUCACACCAUCCUCCUUGGGUGCUGUCCUUGUGACAAUGAGUUUUUAUCAGAUCUGGUGGUUUAUAAGUGGGCAGCACCUCCUCCCCACCCUCUCUUGCUUCUGCUCCAGUCAUGUAAGAUCUGUCUGUUUCUCUUUCACCUUCUGCCAUGAUUGUAAAUUUCCUGAGGCCUCCCUAGAGGCAGAAGUCACUAUGCUUCUUGUACAGCCUGCAGAACCAUGAGCCAAAUACAUCUCUUUUCUUUACAAAUUAUCCACCCUGUGAUAUUUCUUAUAGCAAUGGAAGAAAAGACCAAAACAUCAGACAUGCUCUUUUUUUUCAAGGUGAUCAAUUACAAAGCAGUUUAUUGCCUCUGCACAUGAACUAUCUCUGUUGGAAAACGCAUUAAGGCUGCUGUUUCCUAAGGCAGGCCUGCUUGCAACUCAUCUUUGAUGGGUCACGUGUGGACUCCCCAAACUAGGGGUUCUGGAUGUGUGAAGACCUUCCCAGUCUGAUAUUACUGAGAGGUGGAAGACUGGAGGAAGAAGAAAGGCUGAUGGAAGAGGUCACCAGCCAUCAAUUCAACCAUGAAUCUGCUAGUCCCACAAGCUUGGCCCCAGAGAGGCAAAUUGGGAAAAUGUGGCUGAAAAAUAUGGUGUAUAUAAAAGGAUCCAUAUGUCUCAUAUGUGCUUUCAGCUGAAAGGCACCUUCUAAUGUCCACGUACCUUCCUGUUGAUAGGAAAAGAUGCAGUAUUCCACAUAAGUAACCACAAAAUGUUCCAGACAGUUGAAUUAGGACCUUGUUUUCUCUUUUUUAAAAGGGUUGUCCUUAAGGCAGUAUAGGUUCCAAACGUUCUGUACAAAUCCAGUGACUCUGAUAAUAUGUGGCAAAAUACAACUGAGAAAUGGCCUGGAGGCUCGUGUUUGGAGAACCCAGCAGAGACAGCAUAGCCAGGCCCAAUAGUGCAUUUGGAUCCUUGCCUCAGAACAGUUAGUGGAAGUGUGUGCACCAUCUACCAAAACCAGGGUGACCUUGGGUUCUCCCACUCCAGUUCCUUCCUUUGUUGUCACAGCCAAGUCAAAUCAAUGACACUAAUUUCUGCUUCUAAACUUUCUACAAGUUACAUGAUCUCUCAGGCCAGGACAAACUAUUGAGUUAAUGUGUCAGCAGCAUUGGCCCCCAGGAAAGAUCUAGGCAAGUGUCUGGUACCAUGUCAAGGCAGAAGCUGGGCUGGGCAAACUGUUGCGUUUCUUUCUAGCUUCCCUCUGUUUGGUAGAGUAAUGCUGCUUUAGUUUUCAAUGAAGAGGCUAACAGAAAAGCCAGUCAUCUAUUGCACAUAAUUGUAUAGGCCUAAGAAGGACAUGGUCUACACUAUAGCUUCUGAAUACUGGGCUGUACCGGCAUCGUGUAAGUCUCAGGUACUAUCUGCCUGACUGCCAGAUCUGAAGUGACAGCCCCACAACAUGGCCAACCACACACAGAUGACACUGAUGGUGCCCCUGUGUCCAAGCUUGAAGCAGAUGAGAUGCCAAAAUGUUUGCCCUUCAAGUGACCUCCACUAGGGGGACAGGAACCAUGAAUAUCUAUUUGGAGUUCUACCUGAGGGGUGAGGAAUAUUUUCUCACUUCAUCUUGAUCCUACCUGGAUGCUUUUGCUAUCAUCACAGACUCACAGUCUUGUUUACUUCCUUGCCCUGAGAGUUAAGGAUAACCUGCUAAGCAGAUUUAUUUGAAAUGGGGGUAUUGAAAUAAACUCUUGAGAAGGUAUUUUUAAAAAGACACAUGCAAUCUUGUCAUAGAGAUAUACAUUUGUGCAUUAGACUCAUAUUCCUGACAUUAUUCUGGAAAGGUGAGGUUAUUUUAUACAUAUUUAUUGUCACAAAUACUGAACUAAUAGCCCUCUUUUAUCACCCAGAAGGAACAUGUUGGAAAUAGUCUAUCUCCAAAAAAAAUCUGGCUUUAAAAAGGAUGAAUUUAAGCCAUGUCAAUUCAUGUUAAAAUGCCAGUAGAUGGAAACUAUGUUACCCCAACUCACCAAAUUGCUAAACUUUCUGUGAAAGAAUUAAAACGAGGUUUGUAUUUUC
Macaca mulatta (Rhesus monkey) is the source of this 7280-nucleotide non-coding RNA. NCBI's taxonomy places the organism in Eukaryota, Metazoa, Chordata, Mammalia, Primates, Cercopithecidae. The record is from RefSeq and is a predicted model, not a curated record.